UACGAACUGUGCGAACGUUAUUCGGAAUCACUGGGCUUACAGGGUGCGUAGGCGGCUUGUUAAGUAGGGUGUGAAAGCCCCCGGCUCAACCGGGGAAUUGCGCCCUAAACUGGCGAGCUGGAGUGAGAUAGGGGUGUGUGGAACUUCCGGUGGAGCGGUGAAAUGCGUAGAUAUCAGGAGGAACGCCUGCGGUGUAGACGGCUUUCUGGACCAUUGCUGACGCUGAGACACGAAAGCGUGGGUAGCAAACAGG
RNAcentral lists this ribosomal RNA (253 nucleotides) under uncultured bacterium. Its description in RNAcentral is "partial 16S ribosomal RNA". It matches the Rfam family "Bacterial small subunit ribosomal RNA", at positions 524 to 776 of the family's 1533-position model. The record is from RNAcentral.